UACGUAGGGUGCAAGCGUUGUCCGGAAUUAUUGGGCGUAAAGAGCUCGUAGGCGGUUUGUUGCGUCGGCUGUGAAAUCCCGAGGCUCAACCUCGGGUCUGCAGUCGAUACGAGCAAACUAGAGUGUUGCAGGGGAGACUGGAAUUCCUGGUGUAGCGGGUGAAAUGCGCAGAUAUCAGGAGGAACACCGGUGGCGAAGGCGGGUCUCUGGGCCGAUACUGACGCUGAGGAGCGAAAGUGUGGGGAGCGAACAGG
RNAcentral lists this ribosomal RNA (254 nucleotides) under uncultured bacterium. Its description in RNAcentral is "partial 16S ribosomal RNA". It matches the Rfam family "Bacterial small subunit ribosomal RNA", at positions 524 to 776 of the family's 1533-position model. The record is from RNAcentral.